GAAUGCAGGCAUGAGUAGCGUGUGACGGGUGGGAAUCCCGUCCGCCGAUUAUCCAAGGGUUCCAGGGUCAAGUUUGUCUGCCCUGGGUGAGUCGGGUCCUAAGGCGAGGCCGACAGGCGUAGUCGAUGGGUAACCAGUUGAUAUUCUGGUACCGGCUUGUCACCGUCCGUGUCGAGGUGUGUGAUGCUAAGCAUGUGAGCUUGUCUUGGGAGUGUUUUUGAUGCUUCUGGGGUGGGUGAGUGUGUGAACCGAUCAUGUAG
Molecule: ribosomal RNA, 260 nt
Filed under: Actinobacillus pleuropneumoniae
Lineage: Bacteria; Pseudomonadati; Pseudomonadota; Gammaproteobacteria; Pasteurellales; Pasteurellaceae
Description: partial 23S ribosomal RNA
Rfam family: Bacterial large subunit ribosomal RNA
Source: RNAcentral